RNAcentral lists this ribosomal RNA (468 nucleotides) under uncultured bacterium. RNAcentral's name for it is "partial 16S ribosomal RNA". It matches the Rfam family "Bacterial small subunit ribosomal RNA", at positions 28 to 507 of the family's 1533-position model. The record is from RNAcentral.
GACGAACGCUGGCGGCGUGCUUAACACAUGCAAGUCGAACGGAAAGGCCCUGCUUUUGUGGGGUGCUCGAGUGGCGAACGGGUGAGUAACACGUGAGUAACCUGCCCUUGACUUUGGGAUAACUUCAGGAAACUGGGGCUAAUACCGGAUAGGAGCUCCUGCUGCAUGGUGGGGGUUGGAAAGUUUCGGCGGUUGGGGAUGGACUCGCGGCUUAUCAGCUUGUUGGUGGGGUAGUGGCUUACCAAGGCUUUGACGGGUAGCCGGCCUUAGAGGGGGACCGGCCCCCAUGGGACUGAGGUACGGCCCAGACUCCUACGGGAGGCAGCAGUGGGGAAUAUUGCACAAUGGGCGGAAGCCUGAUGCAGCAACGCCGCGUGCGGGAUGACGGCCUUCGGGUUGUAAACCGCUUUCGCCUGUGACGAAGCGUGAGUGACGGUAAUGGGUAAAGAAGCACCGGCUAACUACGUG